This 273-nucleotide ribosomal RNA is filed under the name uncultured bacterium. RNAcentral describes it as "partial 16S ribosomal RNA". It matches the Rfam family "Bacterial small subunit ribosomal RNA", at positions 524 to 796 of the family's 1533-position model. The record is from RNAcentral.
UACGAAGGGUGCAAGCGUUAAUCGGAAUUACUGGGCGUAAAGCGCGCGUAGGUGGUUUGUUAAGUUGGAUGUGAAAGCCCCGGGCUCAACCUGGGAACUGCAUCCAAAACUGGCAAGCUAGAGUAUGGCAGAGGGUGGUGGAAUUUCCUGUGUAGCGGUGAAAUGCGUAGAUAUAGGAAGGAACACCAGUGGCGAAGGCGACCACAUGGGCUAAUACGGAAACUGAGGUGCGCAAGCGUGGGGCGCACACAGGAGGAGAUAACCGGGUAGUCC